CCUACGGGUGGCAGCAGUGAGGAAUAUUGGUCAAUGGGCGUGAGCCUGAACCAGCCAAGUAGCGUGAAGGAUGACUGCCCUACGGGUUGUAAACUUCUUUUAUAAAGGAAUAAAGUGAGGCACGUGUGCCUGUUCGUCUGUACUUUAUGAAUAAGGCUCGGCUAACUUCGUGCCAGCAGCCGCGGUAAUACGGAGGAUACGAGCGUUAUCCGGAUUUAUUGGGUUUGAAGGGAGCGUAGAUGGGUUGUUAAGUCAGUUGUGAAAGUAUGCGGCUCAACCGUAAAAUUGCAAUUGAGACUGGCAGUCUUGAGUACAGUAGAGGUAGGCGGAAUUCGUGGUGUAGCGGUGAAAUGCUUAGAUAUCACGAAGAACUCCGAUUGCGAAGGCAGCUUACUAAACUGCCACUGACAUUGAUGCUCGAAAGUGUGGGUAUCAAACAGGAUUAGAUACCCUUGUAGUC
This 460-nucleotide ribosomal RNA is filed under the name uncultured bacterium. RNAcentral's name for it is "partial 16S ribosomal RNA". It matches the Rfam family "Bacterial small subunit ribosomal RNA", at positions 338 to 795 of the family's 1533-position model. The record is from RNAcentral.